UUGUAGGUUGUUCUUUUUUAUUACUAUAAUUUUAUUUUAUUUUAGCUCACUGAAUUCAAGCUAUGGAUGAAUAAUGAAACAUAAUACAACUUCCAAAUAAUAACAAUAAUGAUAAAAAUAAAAACUAUGUGGGAGAAGUGGAGAACAAAACUGUUCAGUAGAAAUGAACGAGCAGCAGAUUGGAAGUAUGAACAAACCUGUCCAAUGUCAUAGCAUGCCAAAUUCGUGAAGAUGACAGAUGGCAGAAUUUUCUUUUACUGCACUCUACAGAAAUACACAAUAAAGCAAAGUGCACCUCCUUUUCCUCCAUCCUCUAGCAGGUCAUUAUUAGAUUUCUUGAGAUGUAAUACUCGUCCUCCCUUGUUUUUCCAUGACUUAUUUUAUUUUAGCAUCAUUUACCUUAUUUUUUGCAUUUCUUUUUUCCCAUCUUUUAAUGUCAGAAUAGCAAUGUUUUGUUUCUGUUCCAUGUGAUUAGAGCCUUUUAUUUUAUAUUUUAAAAUAAUUAAAAAAAAAAAAAAAAAAAAAAGUUAGCUUUUACAUGAAAAUUUUCCUCAAAAUUGUGAAUGUUAACAUCUAAGAGGAAAUUAAUAUGGCAUUUUCAUAUUUCAGAGGCUGCAGAUCCUCUUUGGCAAUAACUACCCUUGGGACAUCCCUACAUUGCCAAUCUUUUAUUAUCUUUCCUCUCAGAUGUUAUUACUCGUAUGCAUUUAAUAAAACUCACUUGUGUGGUGAUGCUGUUUCUCUCGCCAUCACAGAGCUCCCCUGAAGGGACAGACAGGGAAUGGCUACCUUAAUGAGCAAAAUACUUCCUGCAACAUUCACAGUCACUGGAAGAUGAUUCCUGAUACUACUAAACAGAGCAGCUCCAGAUAUGGGUUUGGAUUAUGACAUUUAUCAACCUCCAAAGUUACUCUUUGGCAUGCAAACAGUACAAGUUAGAGACUGUUCUUAUUCAUCAGUGAAAGUCAUGUUUUAAAAGCUAAGAAAUUGUUGCAAUGUGGAUGAGAGCCAUUUCAUGACAUUCAGUCAUCAAGGAGUGGACCAAAACCUCUUUAUCUAUGCCUAAUGUAUUAAGAACAGUUCUGGAGUACCUCCACCUUGAAAACCAUGGGAUAUACCCACAAACACACUAAGCUGCUUUUUCUGCUGAGACUAAAGGCUCUUUGGAACUGGAAUUGCUUCUUUCUUCAGGUUUCCACAGUGUCAUCUGGUAAGACUUUAAUCUGGCCUGAAUUCUCCGAAUUCUGGUGUAAUACGUGAAUACUUCAUCAUGGAACUCAUUCUGUCCAGAAUAUCAGUGUCCAGACUAUUUUGAGCGUCUGAAUAUAAUUGGCCAGCGCUUUAAUAUUCAAUGACAUAACUUCAUUGCGGUUUUGACAACACUAUAUAGGAGUUGUGCUUACCAUUGAAAAUUAAAGCCACUGAAAGAGUUGACAACAGCAGAAUUGUGAAUGCUUCCAGGCUCCUGAAGUGAUUGUUAUUCCAGUUUGUCUAGAAGUGCUUAUUGUGUUUGUAAUACCGUCAGUUCCACUUAAGGGCUACUUGAAGUCAAUGCAAUACGGGCCAGGGGUGAUCAUGAAUCCUUUCCUAUGCUUUGGAAUUAUUUGGAUGAUCCACGUGAACAAAAGCAGAUAUUGCAUAACAGAGGAACACAAGGCCCAUUCUGCUGGCUCAGAAUGGGAGCUAAUGGAUUCAGUGUCCUGUCUCCAUGAAAAGAGACCUGCCUAACACAAAGAAGAAUCACAGGCAUCAACAACAGACAGAAAAUAAUUGUGAAUAAAAAAGACACACAAACAAAUAAACAAACAUCCAAAUUCAAAAAAGCUGUUAUGGGUUACUGAAUAACCUGUCCCCAGGAAAAUUAUUUCUUAAGGUCUGAAGGAGGGUAGUUAAAUGCUUAUUAUAAUUCUUCGUAUUCCUGUUAGUUGAGUAUCUGUCAGCCUUUGAGUUAUGAUAUCUUCUAGGAGAAACAGGCUAUCCAGCUCAUGGCCUUAAUAUUUCUAAUUUUAUUUUUUACUUCUGGUCCUCUUACUCUUUUGCUUAAGAAGCCACUAUCUUGUUACCUGCUGCACAUGAUCUCCAUGCCAAGAUUUUGUUUUCCCAAACAUUGAAUUAUUUCUGCACAAGUACAGCAUCUGAAAUGGUCUUCAGGCAUGAAAAUACUUGCAAUUCUCCAGCCACAGAUAACUCAAAUAAUGAGAUUUGAAAACAUUUUAUGGACAAAAAAAUAAACCUUAAACUAUUCAGCUCAGAAAGUGAGACGUGUUUCAGCCUAGAGAAACUUGUCCCAUGCCAAAAGUUUUUUUAAACUUUUAAAGGUGCUAAGGCUACGCUGUAAGGGUCUUAGCUGAAGUUUAACCAGACAAUACUCUCAUGAGAGGCACUGGAACUCUGCAGCAAAUGAUCAAGUUCAGAGCAGCUGAACGUUUCUAGCCUUACUACUCAUGAAUGUCCCUCUGCAGACUUCAAAAGCCUGGAAGUCUCAGAAACCUUGUGUUUUCAAUCAAUUUCUUUCCAAAAACAUUUUAACAGAAAUUGGACACUAUUUUCCCUUGCUGGUGUUAAGAGUUGCUCACACAGCUUUCACUUUCUUCUUUGCUGUCAAUCUCUUCCCAGUGGUUCUAUUGAAUUAUUUUAAAUCCUCCUGAUAAAAGGCUAUGAAAACUCA
Molecule: long non-coding RNA, 2668 nt
Organism: Oenanthe melanoleuca
Lineage: Eukaryota; Metazoa; Chordata; Aves; Passeriformes; Muscicapidae
Exons: 5
Source: RefSeq, a predicted model, not a curated record